RNAcentral lists this long non-coding RNA (1068 nucleotides) under Homo sapiens (human). RNAcentral's name for it is "long intergenic non-protein coding RNA 1192". Lineage: Eukaryota; Metazoa; Chordata; Mammalia; Primates; Hominidae. The record is from RNAcentral.
GCUGUUGCUGGGAGUGGGAAAGAGGUGGCAUCGGCGGUUCAAGACUGAGUUUUCUAUCUCUUCAGUGCCUCUUUCAACAAUGAAGAUCAAACCAGGUUUUGUGCAAAUAUCUGCUGAGUGAACUACUUAUUUGAAAAUACAUCAUUGGUUAAUAUUCCCUUUUGCUCAUUGAAAUCUCAAAGACUACAGACCCCGCACAAGACAUUCUGACAUUCCCGUCUUUGAAAUGAAUGACAGCAAUGAUAAAUAUGGCUCACCUCCAGAGAUACAGAUCUCACAACUUCAUAUUUUUAAUAUAAAUUAUUAAUCUGAGAAGCAGAGAGAGAUAAGACCCAUGAUAAUCAAGCCAUAAACAGAUGCAUUUACUAGCUGAAUGGCCAACAAUGGAAUUCAACAAAUCCAUCUUGAGCACGGCAGCCAGGAGUGUGGUGCAAUUCCAUUAGAUGAAAGAGAUCUACACAUUCAGAAGCACAUGAUUCUUCCCCCUUCCAUGAUUCCAGUGGCCAAUAGACAAACUACAAUAAAGCCAUGCCCUGACUGGAUGUGCCUAACAUUUGUCUGGUGCUUAAAGGAGUUGGCUGCAUGCGUGGGAUGGAGAAGGAUUCAACAUUUAAUGGCAGUUAGAAUCAAAUUUUUAACUCAAGAAGGCAGAAGGAAUCCACCUAAAUAAAUGUUGGAAAGUCACCAAAAAUAGUUCUCCAAGUCAGAAGCGGUGCAAAAGCUGCCUCAGCUCUUGGUGGAUUUUCAAUUUCUCCCAGCCAUCUCUGUUUCGCUAAAGGUUUCUGAAGACAGUGGGGGAAGCUUUUUUCUCCUCCCCAUCCUGAUCACUAGUAUGAGAAGGGGUGCUAAUGGACCAGCCUUGGCCUUGCAGAUGAAGAUGAUGAAGGAAGAAGGUAAAAGGAAACUGUGUACCUGUGUGACCUCUGGUAGUUCAGGUGCCCUAUCCUGCGGGCCACCUGUUAGCUUAAACUUUUGUAUAAUUGAGAAAAUGAGGGUUUUCUCUUAAUUAAGGCACUGUUGUUUGUUGUUUACUAAGGCAACCAAAUAAAUCACCUAGCUAAUAAAGAA